GCACCGUUGAAUUAAAUAUACAAUUCCUGAAAAUAUCUCACAUACAAUCCAAUUCCCUUAAUCACACUUUUU
Molecule: transfer RNA, 72 nt
Filed under: Camellia petelotii var. microcarpa
Lineage: Eukaryota; Viridiplantae; Streptophyta; Magnoliopsida; Ericales; Theaceae
Description: tRNA-Arg
Source: RNAcentral